This 254-nucleotide ribosomal RNA is filed under the name uncultured bacterium. RNAcentral's name for it is "partial 16S ribosomal RNA". It matches the Rfam family "Bacterial small subunit ribosomal RNA", at positions 524 to 776 of the family's 1533-position model. The record is from RNAcentral.
UACGUAGGGCGCAAGUGUUGUCCGGAAUUAUUGGGCGUAAAGAGCUCGUAGGCGGCUUGUCACGUCGAUUGUGAAAGCCCGAGGCUUAACCUCGGGUCUGCAGUCGAUACGGGCUAGCUAGAGUGUGGUAGGGGAGAUCGGAAUUCCUGGUGUAGCGGUGAAAUGCGUAGAUAUCAAGAGGAACACCUGAGGUGAAGACGGGUUGCUGGGCCGACACUGACGCUGACAGCGCGAAAGCCAGGGGAGCAAACGGG